Molecule: ribosomal RNA, 490 nt
Filed under: uncultured bacterium
Lineage: Bacteria
Description: partial 16S ribosomal RNA
Rfam family: Bacterial small subunit ribosomal RNA
Source: RNAcentral
AGUGAACGCUGGCGGUAGGCCUAACACAUGCAAGUCGAACGGCAGCACAGUAAGAGCUUGCUCUUACGGGUGGCGAGUGGCGGACGGGUGAGGAAUACAUCGGAAUCUACUUUUUCGUGGGGGAUAACGUAGGGAAACUUACGCUAAUACCGCAUACGACCUACGGGUGAAAGCAGGGGAUCUUCGGACCUUGCGCGAUUGAAUGAGCCGAUGUCGGAUUAGCUAGUUGGCGGGGUAAAGGCCCACCAAGGCGACGAUCCGUAGCUGGUCUGGGAGGAUGAUCAGCCACACUGGAACUGAGACACGGUCCAGACUCCUACGGGAGGCAGCAGUGGGGAAUAUUGGACAAUGGGCGCAAGCCUGAUCCAGCCAUACCGCGUGGGUGAAGAAGGCCUUCGGGUUGUAAAGCCCUUUUGUUGGGAAAGAAAAGCAGCAGGUUAAUACCCCGCUGUUCUGACGGUACCCAAAGAAUAAGCACCGGCUAACUUCG